This 460-nucleotide ribosomal RNA is filed under the name uncultured bacterium. Its description in RNAcentral is "partial 16S ribosomal RNA". It matches the Rfam family "Bacterial small subunit ribosomal RNA", at positions 338 to 795 of the family's 1533-position model. The record is from RNAcentral.
CCUACGUGAGGCAGCAGUGAGGAAUAUUGGUCAAUGGGCGCGAGCCUGAACCAGCCAAGUCGCGUGAAGGAUGACUGCCCUACGGGUUGUAAACUUCUUUUAUAAAGGAAUAAAGUGAGGCACGUGUGCCUUUUUGUAUGUACUUUAUGAAUAAGGAUCGGCUAACUCCGGGCCAGCAGCCGCGGUAAUACGGAGGAUCCGAGCGUUAUCCGGAUUUAUUGGGUUUAAAGGGAGCGUAGAUGGGUUGUUAAGUCAGUUGUGAAAGUUUGCGGCUCAACCGUAAAAUUGCAAUUGAUACUGGCAGUCUUGAGUACAGUUGAGGUAGGCGGAAUUCGUGGUGUAGCGGUGAAAUGCUUAGAUAUCACGAAGAACCCCGAUUGCGAAGGCAGCUUACUAAACUGCCACUGACAUUGAUGCUCGAAAGUGUGGGUAUCAAACAGGAUUAGAUACCCUAGUAGUC